GGAAGACUGCUCUCCUGGCCUCCUGGAAGUCAUAUGGGAAACAGAUAGGCAGCAAGGAACAACAGAGAUUUAGGGUUCACUGUGAGCCAGUUCCCCAACACCCAGGACAGCUUCCCAGGGAAGACGGAGUCUCGUCUGCCUGUGCUCCACUUGUACAGCAGGGCAACAUCAAACAGAAGGAAACAGAAGACAGAAGACCCAGAGCAACAGGAAUGUGCCUUUGAAGCCCUAAGCUGCCAUAUAUAUGGCUACUGUGAACACGCUGGCUACUGUGCUACAAAGAUCACACGGAGAGAACAGAUACAGAGAAACAGAGAGAGAUUCCUGGGGAACCCUAGCUGCUUCAGUUCCUAGCUUUUGAGGCAUCCCAAACCAGAGGCCAGAUGCGUGAAUGAAUGAGCUCUUGGAUGAUGGCAGCUGCAACCUUUUAGUCUUCUAGCUGAGGCCCCACACACUGUAAAACAGAGAGAAAAAAAAACCCAGUGUCUUGUCUGAAUUUCUGAAACACGAAAUUUAUGAGCAUAAUAAAUGGUUGUUUUACACC
Molecule: long non-coding RNA, 544 nt
Filed under: Homo sapiens (human)
Lineage: Eukaryota; Metazoa; Chordata; Mammalia; Primates; Hominidae
Description: HSALNT0027685
Source: RNAcentral